ACAGACAUAUGUUCCUUCUCCCUGAGAAGUCAGAGUCCUUUGUAGUAUUAAUAAUAAUAAUAAUAUGAGUAAUCACAACAGAUAAAAGAAAUCAUCACCUGACCUAUGAAAGAGAGUACAUUUCAAGAGUUUUUAGGAGGCCUGCUUCAUGAAACAAGAAAUGGAUGAAACAUGGACAAGAUAGAAAUAGUCAAAA
This is a non-coding RNA of Odocoileus virginianus texanus, 196 nucleotides long. NCBI's taxonomy places the organism in Eukaryota, Metazoa, Chordata, Mammalia, Artiodactyla, Cervidae. The record is from RefSeq and is a predicted model, not a curated record.